CGUUAUUUUAAUUUUAUUUUCCCCUUAUAUUUUCUAUGUUGCUUUUUCAGUCUGACUUUGAGUAAAAAAAAUCCUUCUAGUGGUAUUUUUAUUAUAUUUUGUCCUUUUUAAUGUUGCUUUUGCCAAUCCAUUUUUGAGUUAAAAAACUCAUCCAAACUAUCACUGAUCCCAUAUACUUGUGCAAAUAGUUGAUCCUCAUUAUCCAUAUUUCUCUUUAAUUCUUAACAUGCAAAAAUGAC
This 239-nucleotide long non-coding RNA is filed under the name Hordeum vulgare. Its description in RNAcentral is "long non-coding RNA (HVUL_LNC000635)". Lineage: Eukaryota; Viridiplantae; Streptophyta; Magnoliopsida; Poales; Poaceae. The record is from RNAcentral.